Molecule: ribosomal RNA, 530 nt
Filed under: uncultured bacterium
Lineage: Bacteria
Description: bacterial SSU rRNA
Rfam family: Bacterial small subunit ribosomal RNA
Source: RNAcentral
UUGACAUCCAGAGAAUUUAGCAGAGAUGCUUUAGUGCCUUCGGGAACUCUGAGACCAGGUGCUGCAUGGCUGUCGUCAGCUCGUGUUGUGAAAUGUUGGGUUAACGUCCGCAACGAGCGCAACCCUUAUCCUUUGUUGCCAGCACGUAAUGGUGGGAACUCAAAGGAGACUGCCGGUGAUAAACCGGAGGAAGGUGGGGAUGACGUCAAGUCAUCAUGGCCCUUACGAGUAGGGCUACACACGUGCUACAAUGGCGUAUACAAAGAGAAGCGACCUCGCGAGAGCAAGCGGACCUCAUAAAGUGCGUCGUAGUCCGGAUUGGAGUCUGCAACUCGACUCCAUGAAGUCGGAAUCGCUAGUAAUCGUAAAUCAGAAUGUUACGGUGAAUACGUUCCCGGGCCUUGUACACACCGCCCGUCACACCAUGGGAGUGGGUUGCAAAAGAAGUAGAUAGCUUAACCUUCGGGAGGGCGUUUACCACUUUGUGAUUCAUGACUGGGGUGAAGUCGUAACAAGGUAGGCGUAGUGCU